Molecule: ribosomal RNA, 234 nt
Filed under: uncultured bacterium
Lineage: Bacteria
Description: partial 16S ribosomal RNA
Rfam family: Bacterial small subunit ribosomal RNA
Source: RNAcentral
AAUCAACGCUGGCGGCGCGCUUAACACAUGCAAGUCGAACGAGAAAGUGGGGCAACCCGAUGAGUACAGUGGCGUACGGGUGAGUAACACGUGGAUUAUCUACCUCUUAGCGGGGAAUAACUCUGGGAAACCGGAGCUAAUACCGCAUAAGCCUGGAAAGGGAAAGUGUCGUUCUUCAAAAAAUGACACGCUGAGAGAGGAGUCCGCGGCCGAUUAGCUAGUUGGCAGGGUAAC